AACGAACGCUGGCGGCAUGCCUAACACAUGCAAGUCGAACGAGAACUCCGGGUCUUGUGGCGCCCGGGUGUGUAAGGCGUGGGAAGCUGCACUUAGGUACGGAAUACCUCCCUGAGAGGGAUGCUAAUACCGGAUAGUGUCUUAGGACCUAAGAUUUAUUGCCUUUGGCUGGGCCCGCGUUGGAUUAGCUGGUUGGUAGGGGCAAAGCAUACCACGGCGUCGAUCCAUAGCUGGGCUGAGAGGAUGAUUAGCCACACUUGGACUGAGACACGGCCCAGACUCCUACGGAAGGCAGCAGAGGGGAAUAUAGGACAAGGGGCGGAAGCCUGACCCAGCAAUGCCGGGUAAGUGAUGAUGGCCGUAGUGAUGUAAAGCUCUCUUACCCGGGAUGAUAAUGACAGUACCGGGAGAAGAAGCACCGGCUAACUACGUG
This 433-nucleotide ribosomal RNA is filed under the name uncultured bacterium. RNAcentral describes it as "partial 16S ribosomal RNA". It matches the Rfam family "Bacterial small subunit ribosomal RNA", at positions 29 to 507 of the family's 1533-position model. The record is from RNAcentral.